CACACACCUAAAGAGUAUGCGAUCACAUGGCAGACAACGAGGGAAACGGAAGGGCUGCCCCACUUGGCUAUCCACCCACUACUUGGAUCCAAUCCAAGUUGGCCAAGGUUAAGCUUUAGCCUGGUCUUGUUUGACCUCACCUAUCGUAAACCUAUAUUACGCUAUUUCUUUAGCCCAACUAGAGCUCAAUUAAUUCCCCAAAUAAGUCCUAUCCUUUUAAUCCAGUUUACAAAAUAUUUAUUGAGAAAAUAACUGCAAUCUUAUUCCAAUUAAUCUAGAGAUAGUUGGCGUGUGCUAGAUGCGUUACAAGAAUAGGUCAACUGAGGUUCCCGCUCACUAAUAAUAUGCCCAUGUGUGACUAGGAGACACUAUAGCACAGACCCUUUUGGGACCAAUUAUAGGCCGAUCAUGGUAUUUGUGAUUGGAUUUGACUAGAUUUAAUCCCUUAGUUUGGCAAGGAUGCCCGGGUUUAGAUGAGAGGAAUGGCAUGUGUUUGGCUUCACAUUACUUAUGUACUAGAAAGAUUUUGAAUACUUCUACAGGGUUAAGGAACCCAAAUAAUAACAAAUAGUAACUUCUGGCUAGUCAUUUUAAGUGAGGUCCUAGGUUGUUACAGCUUCAUUUAAUAGGUUCAGCAACACAAAAAUAUCUAAAGGCUAUUAACUGAAGGCUAAGCAAAUAUCAAGUUGGGUCUAUUAUUCAUCCUUUAUGAUUAAAAGCUAAUUUCUUCUUUACUUUUAUAACUAAUAUAUAUCAGCAUCUACAUCUUACAAAAUUCAACCUUACAAAUAGGUAAGCUAAUUUAAGUAAGCAUCUUGAUAAAAAAAGAUCGACCCUUGUAGUUCUAGUUACAACAACAUCUCCUUGUGCAAUCUCACUAAAUCGUCAUUCCAUGCAUCAAAUUAUCCCGGAUAUGAUUAAAUUAUUAACAUCUCAAAAAUCCCUCACUGUAUAUAACUUUUUAAGACCAAUUUAGCUCUCUAUUCUCAUCAAUCAGCGAUAACUUAUUCACAAAUAUAUGCACCAUAUGUCCCUCAAAUAUUAAAUCUAAUUCCUCUAAACACUAAUUAGCCAUAAAUAUCUUUCGUCUCGUCACAGUUAGUCUCUGCAUACAUGUCAUUAUUAUUAGACUAGUGCAUAUAUGCCUUCCUUUCUCGACUCCAUUCAAGUAUCCUAUCUUGGUAUUUUAUCAUAAUACUUUUCAACACUAGUAAAGGUCACGAGCAAGUUCCGUCCUCAUAUAAUUUUUUCAUGAAAUUGCCAAUGAAAAUCACUUCUCUUUUUGGUUCAAUGUCUAUAAUUUGUGCUAAGUGCAGUUCUCCAUAUCAAAUUGCCUUAUUCCCUUGUCUAGACCCUCACUCUCUCCCUGUCUUAAAUAAGAUCAUAAUGUUCUUGAGCAUCUACCAUAUAGGAUUAAACAUAUCUCACAUGUUCAACUUGUUGAAGUUGCCAUCAGAUUUUCAAUAACUGAACUAAGGCUUAAUCCCAAACUAAUUGGGGUUGCCUACAUGAAUUCUUUUCCUUCAUGCCGUUCAACUUAGGGCCAUACUUUCUGAAAGAUGUUAAGAUAUCAAUUCCUUCCAUACUACUUUGUCCCAUGUGAUUUUCAGUCUACCUCUACCCCUCUCUAUUCCUUCUACAUUUAUUAAUUCACUCCUUCAUACUAGUGCAUCCCUCAAUCUAUGUUGUGCAUGUCCAAACCAUCUAAAUUGUCAUUCCCUCAAUAUGUCCUCAAUUGGUAUUACCUCCACCUUCUGGCAAAUGACUGCCAUCAGAUUUUAAAUGAUAAGACAAAGUUUGCUGAUGG
Molecule: long non-coding RNA, 1807 nt
Filed under: Phoenix dactylifera (date palm)
Lineage: Eukaryota; Viridiplantae; Streptophyta; Magnoliopsida; Arecales; Arecaceae
Description: long non-coding RNA (PDAC_LNC013848)
Source: RNAcentral